GAUGAAGAACGUAGUGAAAUGCGAUAAGUAAUGUGAAUUGCAGAAUUCAGUGAAUCAUCGAAUCUUUGAACGCAUCUUGCGCUCCUUGGUAUUCUGAGGAGCAUGCCUGUUUGAGUGUCAUUAAAUUCUCAACUACACUGACUUUGAAUUGGUGUGGCUUGGAUUUGGGGGGAAAAUUGUUGUGGGCUUUUUGUAUAGUCUGCUCCCCUGAAAUUGAUUAGCGGUACCUUUGUGGAACUGUCUACAGGUGUGAUAAUUAUCUACAUCUUAGACAUCUGCUGGAAUGCUGCUUUCUAAACCUUACUUGUAUUGACAAUCUUGACCUCAAAUCAGGUAGGACUACCCGCUGAACUUAAGCAUAUCAAUAAGCGG
This 372-nucleotide unclassified non-coding RNA is filed under the name soil metagenome. RNAcentral's name for it is "partial contains 5.8S ribosomal RNA, internal transcribed spacer 2, and large subunit ribosomal RNA". The stretch from base 1 to 120 matches the Rfam family "5.8S ribosomal RNA", at positions 35 to 154 of the family's 154-position model. The record is from RNAcentral.